Molecule: non-coding RNA, 997 nt
Organism: Chelonoidis abingdonii (Abingdon island giant tortoise)
Lineage: Eukaryota; Metazoa; Chordata; Testudines; Testudinidae
Source: RefSeq, a predicted model, not a curated record
UAUUUAAUAAAAAAUCCAUUAUAGCAACUGCUGCCGACUUUUUAUUUUUAAAGGUAAAGGAAAGCUUGCUUUUUUUCUCACCGCUCAAGGAUUCAGCUUUGAAAACUUAUGUGGAUGUAAACAUUGGUGCCCAACUCCCAUAGUUUGCCAUGGGACCUUUGGAGUUAAAUACAGCAAAAACAAGAGUAAAAGGAAUAAAACACUCUUAGAAAUAAAAAGCUCUCUUUCUCCUUUUAGUCUGCUACAGUACAUUUGACAGCUGCUGUCCAAUCAAAUUCAGUUUACAAUAGGGUGAUUUAAACAAACGUUUCGUAUUCCACAUCAUUUCUGUGACCUGUCAGUAUUUAAACGAAGCUGUUAUAACGUUAAAAGGUUUCCUCAUAGUUUAUUGUGAAUGGCAAAGAAGUUUUUCCUUUUUAAUAUUCUUCAGGAAGUUUUCCUCAUGACACGAGGAUGUUAAAUUUGUUAUUUAUAAUAGAUACUUCUGAAAAGGUGGUAUUUUAAUAUUAAUUCUUUCUUUCCCAUUCCAAUAUAAUGAUAUUUACACAUUUUUUUUUAAAAAAGUAUAACUACACCAUAAAAUAUAGGAGAAACUGUAUGUAAGUUUCCCAUUUUAAAGGGUUGUCCUGUAUAAGAUUCAGAUAAAAAAUGGACAGUUCACCAGUCCCCACUGAAGAUGACACUAGAAAAUUAAAAACUUAAAUCUUAUCAGGUUACUCAAAAAGGCAGAAUUGCUUUUGUGCAUGAAACUCAGUUUCUUGUGCAGGAAACCCAGCAGGAAUUAAAAUGUCAAAAAUCAAUACAAAUCAGAUAACAUGAUAUAUGUAACCCUGAUAUUUACUUUAAAAAUGUUGUUAUCUAUUUACAAUCAGGGGUGGGGAAAACAAGUUAGCAUUGAACAGAUUUCCGCACUGUAAAGUAAGGGGAUAUUACUUUCUAUUAACUCUUUAAGAACUUGAUUGCUCUCAAGCAUCACAUUGCAAGCAAAAGGAGCUCA